RNAcentral lists this long non-coding RNA (295 nucleotides) under Hordeum vulgare. RNAcentral describes it as "long non-coding RNA (HVUL_LNC013733)". The record is from RNAcentral. Lineage: Eukaryota; Viridiplantae; Streptophyta; Magnoliopsida; Poales; Poaceae.
CAAUAACCUGGACGCCUACGUGGACGACCUGCUCUCCAUCCUCGACGCGCUCCGCAUCCCGCGCUGCGCCUUCUUCGGCCACUCUGUCUCCGCCAUGAUCAGCAUCCUCGCCUCCAUCCGCCGCCCCGACCUCUUCGCCAAGCUCGUCCUCAUCGGCGCCUCGCCUAGGUGGGUACGGUGGUAGAGUAAUUCGCACCGCCUAUCGAUAUAUAGGUCAAUUAUUAUCGGUCCUUCCUUUCCUUGCACGCGGCGCCUCGCCGGCAAACCAACUGACCGGAGCAAUCCAUCGAUCGAU